This 486-nucleotide ribosomal RNA is filed under the name uncultured bacterium. Its description in RNAcentral is "partial 16S ribosomal RNA". It matches the Rfam family "Bacterial small subunit ribosomal RNA", at positions 27 to 507 of the family's 1533-position model. The record is from RNAcentral.
GGAUGAACGCUGACAGAGUGCUUAACACAUGCAAGUCUUUGGCGAAGCUGUGCUUGCACAGCCUAGCCAAGGCGGACGGGUGAGUAACGCGUAAGUAACUUGCCCUGCAGUCAGGGAUAACAGACGGAAACGACUGAUAAGACCUGGUAAAGUCAGGCGGCCUCAUGUCCAGCCUGAUGAACAUAGAUGCUGCAGGAGAGCCUUGCGUCCGAUUAGCUUGUUGGUGGGGUAAAGGCCAACCAAGGCGAUGAUAGGUAGCCGUCCGGAGAGGGUGGACAGCCACACUGGAAAUGAGACACGGUCCAGACUCGUACUGGAGGCAGCAGGGGGGAAUAGUGGACAAGGGGCGUAAGCAUGAUCCAGCCAUACCGAGUGGGUGAAGAAGGCCUGCGGGUGGGAAAGCACUGUGGGGGGGAAAGAAAAGCAGCAGGGUAAUACCCCGCUGGUCUGACGGUACCCAAAGAAUAAGCACCGGCUAACUUCGUG